CCUCCAAGGCUAAAUACUACCUAGUGACCGAUAGCGUAUAGUACCGGGAGGGAAAGGUGAAAAGAACCCCGGGAGGGGAGUGAAAUAGAACCUGAAACCCUGCACUUACAAGCUGUGGAAGCACAUUGCUUGUGUGACCGCGUACUUUUUGUAGAACGGGCCAACGAGUUACGUUAAGUAGCAAGGUUAAGCACUUAAGGUGCGGAGCCGUAGCGAAAGCGAGUUUUAACUGAGCGUUCAGUUACUUGACGUAGACCCGAAACCGGGCGACC
Molecule: ribosomal RNA, 272 nt
Filed under: Clostridioides difficile
Lineage: Bacteria; Bacillati; Bacillota; Clostridia; Peptostreptococcales; Peptostreptococcaceae
Description: partial 23S ribosomal RNA
Rfam family: Bacterial large subunit ribosomal RNA
Source: RNAcentral